CAGCAGCCGCGGUAAUACGGAGGGGGCUAGCGUUGUUCGGAAUUACUGGGCGUAAAGCGCACGUAGGCGGCUUGGUAAGUUAGAGGUGAAAGCCCGGAGCUCAACUCCGGAAUUGCCUUUAAGACUGCCGAGCUAGUAGGUGAGAGAGGUAAGUGGAAUUCCGAGUGUAGAGGUGAAAUUCGUAGAUAUUGGGAAGAACACCGGUGGCGAAGGCGGCAACCUGGUCCAUUACUGACGCUGAGGCGCGAAAGCGUGGGGAGCAAACAGGAUUAGAUACCCCUGUAGUCCCUGUCUCUUAUAC
This 301-nucleotide ribosomal RNA is filed under the name uncultured bacterium. RNAcentral describes it as "partial 16S ribosomal RNA". It matches the Rfam family "Bacterial small subunit ribosomal RNA", at positions 509 to 807 of the family's 1533-position model. The record is from RNAcentral.